UGAGCAAUCUGCCCUUCUCUUUGGAAUAAGCGUUGGAAACGACGUCUAAUGCCGAAUACGACCUCCUUUCGCAUGAUCGGAGGUGGAAAGCUCCGGCGGAGAAGGAUGAGCUCGCGGCCUAUCAGCUAGUUGGUGUGGGUAAUGGCCCACAAGGUGACGACGGGUAGCCGGCCUGGAGGAGGGUCGACCGGCCACACGUGGGACUGAGACACGGCCCAGACCUCCGUACGGGAGNAGCG
This 239-nucleotide ribosomal RNA is filed under the name uncultured bacterium. RNAcentral describes it as "partial 16S ribosomal RNA". It matches the Rfam family "Bacterial small subunit ribosomal RNA", at positions 118 to 347 of the family's 1533-position model. The record is from RNAcentral.